GUGGGGAAUAUUGCACAAUGGGGGAAACCCUGAUGCAGCAACGCCGCGUGAGUGAUGACGGUCUUCGGAUUGUAAAACUCUGUCUUUGGGGACGAUAAUGACGGUACCCAAGGAGGAAGCCACGGCUAACUACGUGCCAGCAGCCGCGGUAAUACGUAGGUGGCAAGCGUUGUCCGGAUUUACUGGGCGUAAAGGGAGCGUAGGUGGAUAUUUAAGUGGGAUGUGAAAUACUCGGGCUUAACCUGGGUGCUGCAUUCCAAACUGGAUAUCUAGAGUGCAGGAGAGGAAAGUAGAAUUCCUAGUGUAGCGGUGAAAUGCGUAGAGAUUAGGAAGAAUACCAGUGGCGAAGGCGACUUUCUGGACUGUAACUGACACUGAGGCUCGAAAGCGUGGGGAGCAAACAGGAUUAGAAACCCUGGUAGUCC
Molecule: ribosomal RNA, 425 nt
Filed under: uncultured bacterium
Lineage: Bacteria
Description: bacterial SSU rRNA
Rfam family: Bacterial small subunit ribosomal RNA
Source: RNAcentral